CCUACGGGUGGCAGCAGUGGGGGAUAUUGCACAAUGGGGGGAACCCUGAUGCAGCGACGCCGCGUGGGUGAAGGAGCGUUUCGGCGCGUAAAGCCCUAUCGGCAGGGAAGAAGGAGGACGGUACCUGACUAAGAAGCCCCGUCUAACUACGUGCCAGCAGCCGCGGUAAUACGGGGGGUGCAAGCGUUGUCCGGAAUCAUUGGGCGUAAAGAGUUCGGAGGCGGCACGUAAAGUCUGGUGUUAAAGGCAGAGGCUCAACUUCUGUACGGCACUGGAAACUUGCGAGCUAGAAUGCGGUAGAGGUAAAGGGAAUUCGUGGUGUAGCGGUGAAAUGCUUAGAUAUCAGGAGGAACAUCGGUGGCGUAGGCGCUUUACUGGGCCGUAAUUGACGCUGAGGAACGAAAGCCAGGGUAGCAAAUGGGAUUAGAUACCCCUGUAGUC
Molecule: ribosomal RNA, 441 nt
Filed under: uncultured bacterium
Lineage: Bacteria
Description: partial 16S ribosomal RNA
Rfam family: Bacterial small subunit ribosomal RNA
Source: RNAcentral